GGGGACGUAAGAAAGCGACCCAGGAAUGCUUGGGCGUGCCUCCACCCACGCCGGCGUCGGCGGGCGUAUUUCGCCUCACAGUAGGUCGCCGCGACCCGUUGCUUUUGGGGACGUCGAAGGCCCGGACGGAUUGGUACCCUACCGGCUGGGGAUGCGGCUUCGGCUUCUCCUCUUGUCCGGUGGGCGAAACCGCCGGUGUCCUGGCUGCCCUGCGACGGUCGUAGAGACGAGCCCUCCCCAUUCGUGGGGGGCGGCUCUCGCGGCGUGCAAAAGGUCGGUGAUCCACCCGACCCGUCUUGAAACACGGACCAAGGAGUCUAACAUGUGUGCGAGUCAGUGGGCGCACUAAACCCAGAGGCGUAAUGAAAGUGACACGGGUUCGGCUGUCGCCUCGUGUGGCAGCCGGACUCGGGGCCGAUCCCUCACCGGUUGCCCUCGCCUCUCUCCCGCGUCUCGGUAAGCCGGGUGAGCUAUUUUCCCCGGCCAAUGCUGCGGGGCUCGGGAGGCGGCGGGGUUGCGAUGGUGUCCGUAAAAAAGAGCCUGCUGUUGCAGGGGGGCGCAGGCCCGGGACUUGCCAGGACGCCGCGAGACUGUCACUUUGCUGUGAGGCUCCAGGGCCGAUCAGCGGGUCAUGCGUGCAGUCGGCAAGUACCAUGAGCAGACAUGUUGGGACCCGAAAGAUGGUGAACUAUGCCUGGCCAGGAUGAAGCCAGAGGAAACUCUGGUGGAGGUCCGUAGCGAUUCUGACGUGCAAAUCGAUCGUCGGAGCUGGGUAUAGGGGC
This 782-nucleotide ribosomal RNA is filed under the name Fallicambarus macneesei. RNAcentral describes it as "eukaryotic LSU rRNA". The stretch from base 308 to 782 matches the Rfam family "Eukaryotic large subunit ribosomal RNA", at positions 665 to 924 of the family's 3401-position model. Lineage: Eukaryota; Metazoa; Arthropoda; Malacostraca; Decapoda; Cambaridae. The record is from RNAcentral.